GUGCCAGCCGCCGCGGUAAAACGUAGGAGGCGAGCGUUAUCCGGAUUUACUGGGCGUAAAGCGCACGCAGGCGGCCGCGCAAGUCGGUUGUGAAAGCUCCUGGCUUAACUGGGAGAGGCCAAUCGAAACUGCGGGGCUUGAGGUUGGGAGAGGGGUGUGGAAUUCCCGGUGUAGUGGUGGAAUGCGUAGAGAUCGGGAGGAACACCAGUGGCGAAGGCGGCACCCUGGCCCACACCUGACGCUGAGGUGCGAAAGCGUGGGGAGCAAACAGGAUUAGAUACCCGUGUAGUCC
Molecule: ribosomal RNA, 292 nt
Filed under: uncultured bacterium
Lineage: Bacteria
Description: partial 16S ribosomal RNA
Rfam family: Bacterial small subunit ribosomal RNA
Source: RNAcentral